RNAcentral lists this ribosomal RNA (334 nucleotides) under bacterium ocnta345lb421onp9.24. RNAcentral describes it as "bacterial SSU rRNA". It matches the Rfam family "Bacterial small subunit ribosomal RNA", at positions 50 to 379 of the family's 1533-position model. The record is from RNAcentral.
UACACAUGCAGUCGAGCGGUAACAUUUCAAAAGCUUGCUUUUGAAGAUGACGAGCGGCGGACGGGUGAGUAAUGCCUAGGAAAUUGCCCUGAUGUGGGGGAUAACCAUUGGAAACGAUGGCUAAUACCGCAUGAUGCCUACGGGCCAAAGAGGGGGACCUUCGGGCCUCUCGCGUCAGGAUAUGCCUAGGUGGGAUUAGCUAGUUGGUGAGGUAAUGGCUCACCAAGGCGACGAUCCCUAGCUGGUCUGAGAGGAUGAUCAGCCACACUGGAACUGAGACACGGUCCAGACUCCUACGGGAGGCAGCAGUGGGGAAUAUUGCACAAUGGGCGCA